UCUCUGUAGUCUAGAUGAGCUCUUAAAGACUAACAAAUUUAUUUCGGCAUAAGCUUUUGUUGGAUGGAAGCCAAAAAUGUUUUUACUUUGACUCCACACUGAAGGGAGCAAUGAAAACUCAUUCCUUAAUAUGAUUAGUCAUGUACCCUUUUAUCCCAAAUAUAUAAAGGAGUAGGAGAGCAGUUUGUUGGUCUCCUGAAAAGUCAUUUCCUAAUAGUUGUAACCAGGAAAGUGACUGUAAAAAUCACACUGAAGAUCAAUCUUUUGGAGUUCAAGAUAGUGGGCCCAGUAACGACCCACUGAAUUGAAUGCUGAGGUUGCCCCGGUCGGCGCUGGUGAAGAGUAAGGGAAGCCAAUGGGAGCAUUUGCUCUUGUCGUCCUCCCGUUGUGGAAAUGGCACCAAGCUUGGCUUAAGGAAUGUUGACUCCAGCUAUGUUAUUUAUGUAGCUGGAGGUGCGUACCUUAAGCUGACCUUCGGGUCUAGUAUAGAUUUGGCCUGAGAUUCAAUAGCUACUUUUCCCGUGGACUACCAGAUCCUGAUUAGGUUUAUUACUAUGUCUGCUAAACUAAGAACAGCCAGAACCUGGUCCACCAUGAAGAUGACUCAGGGGAAACCUGGGCAAGAAUGCAGCUGGGGCCUAAAAUUGUAGGUACCACACAUUUGACAGUUAGGACUAGAUCCUGAAAAUAGGGUUCCAGGCUGCCAAGAUGAUGUGGAUCCUUUUUCAGGAUCUAUUCCUUCUUCAGAAUUCUGGCUUUUAUAAAGUCUAAAGAAGUCACAAAGUAAUAAGGCUAAAAGAAUCUAGAACCCAGCCCUAAACACCAUUUUAGCACUGACUGCUUUAAAAAUAAUAGCUUUGAACAGUUUACAUUUGUACAUCAUAAAGCUGAAAAUGUAGAAAGACUUUUUGCUUAAAGUAUGUUAAGUUAUCAGAGAAGUCUGAAAUAGCCUGUGGUGCCUUCUCUUCCCCAAUAUUUAUGUGAAAGCGUCUGCGUUUAGCAGUAAACAUGCAUGUGACAGAGAACUGAAGGGGUUAGGAAGGAUGCAUACAAAUCUAACCUACAGAUUGGCAUUGACACUCAAUUUGGCAAGCUGCCGUGGGUCUCACCAGGAACUGUUCAUAUUCUAAAUUGUGUCUGUCUAAUACAUGGAUAAAGACUAAGACCCAGUUCCUGAUGCCCUUGAGAGAGCUCAUGAAGUGAGUGGGGGUAUAUGCAGAUUCAGGGGUCUGCCUGCACAGGUUCCAUAGCAUGAUCAAGGCUACAGUCAUAGAAAUCAACAGUAAAGUUAGGUAAGUCAGCAUUUUGCUUGAAUAGAAUAUUUUCAUGAUAGCUUUGCAAGGCUGAUUUUAUUUUAUAUGCUUAUAUAAAUACCCAUGCACAUUAUUGCCAAUCCCAAGUAAACUGCAAAAUUCAAGCACAGAUCACAGUACAGAAUCAGAAUCUACAUAUAUAUAAAAAAUACACACAUCCAUAUAUAUACACACACAUAUGUGGUACUGCCUGCUCUGCCUGUAAUUUAUAGUUAACAUGCUGUUUUCAGCUGCUUAUAUCUCUGCAAAACUUAAAAUCAGCCUGAGGCAGACACCCAGGAUCUAAAAUUUCAGCCCAGAUAUUGAGGUUUUUUUGAUUGAUACAGCGUAGCGGCUUUCAACUUUUUUUUUUUUAUAUUUUGCAGACCCUUACAAAAUUACAAAUGAAGAUGCUUUCAGAUAUGCAGACCUCAAAUUGAAAACCAUUGAUAUAGACACUUGCAUUUGUGGAGUAGAGAUUCGGGAGUCAUAAUUGUCAAGACUGGACCAAGAACAUAAAUGGAGUGUAUGACAGAGAAAGACAAAAUUGCUCUUGGACCUAAAACAUUAUUAUAUAAAUAAUUUAUUCUUCUUUGUUUAGUGGCCACUUCUCACUUAUCCUACUCCUUAUUUCCCCUCCCCCAAAAGAAAUUUGUGUUCUACACAUACAUAACUAGAAAUAAGGAUAAAUAAUUCCU
Pelodiscus sinensis (Chinese soft-shelled turtle) is the source of this 1990-nucleotide non-coding RNA. The record is from RefSeq and is a predicted model, not a curated record. Lineage: Eukaryota; Metazoa; Chordata; Testudines; Trionychidae.